This 46-nucleotide non-coding RNA is filed under the name Schistosoma curassoni. The record is from RNAcentral. Lineage: Eukaryota; Metazoa; Platyhelminthes; Trematoda; Strigeidida; Schistosomatidae.
AUCCAACUGAUGAGUUUCAGAAUAGGACGAAGCGCGCGUCCUGGAU